CGUCACACACCAACGUCUCUCUCUCUCUCUCUCUCUCUCUCUCUCUCAUGCGGAGGACGAACAGAGCUGAAACAAACCCUUUGCGUGUUUUCCCGCCGCUGAAGACGGUGGCCAAGGCCGGAAUCACGUGUUUGUACGUUACUGAUUUUAAUUUGGGGUGGGUUUGUUCGAGCUUGGGGACAGGUGCGGCCAUGGUGGUUGAGGGCGUUCCAGAGGAGGGUUUCGUGGGUUAGCCGAAGACGAGGAAGUUGCAGUUGGGGCGGCGGCGGAGGGCGGCGGCGAAUGGGCAGUUGUCGUUCGUGAGGCGUAGUGGAGGAGGGCGUCGAAGAUGGGUUUGGGUAAGGAGGUGCCGUCGGCGACGGCCGUGGUGGUUUCUGUUUAUUGGGACUCUGAUGUUUCUGUUUCUGGGUUGUGUUAAUGGCGCGGAUUUGUAAACAGCAAUAACGGGUUGACAAGGGUUCUUUUUCCAUUCCAUCACUCUAAUCUUGUUGAAUUCUUGAUCUGAGAGAAAAUCAGAGAUGGGUUUUGUGAGUACUGUGAUGGGUUUUUUUCGGAUUUGUCUUGUUGGUCAAGGGACCUCGGUUCCAUCAAGAGAAUUCAAUUCAGUCAAUUACCGCCUAAAGAAAAAACCACGCAAUGUAUACACUACUUCAUCCAAGCCGUGUAUCGUCACCAAAAUAGCGCAGCACGUGGAAGGUUCAACGCUCCAUUCCUGUUUCCUGGGCAAGCCUGGGGAUUCUCAAUCGGUGAUUCUUUAUCGGUAGAAGAUAGUUUUGGGUUGAAUAGAUGUUCUUGUUCGCCACAAUACGAAUACUAAUUCAGAAGUACAAUUCAACUGUUGUAGCAUCUGUUGCUGUCCUUGAGAGACGCUUAUUGCUCCAUUUAUGUGUUCCCAAGGCUGUACGAACUGGGGUGCUAUCAUGUUGUCGCUAUUGACAUUGAUCCUCAAAAAGUGGAAAUGGCAUUAAGUAACGCAAAAGUCUACGGCAUGGAAGAUUAUGUUGAUUUCAUUGUUGGAGACUUUAUCCAACUUGCUCCUUCUCUAAAGGGGCACGCAGUAUUUCUCUCUCCACCAUGGGGAGGUCCGUCAUAUAAAGCAACGAACAAUUUUACCCUUGAUUUAUUGAAGCCAAAAGAUGGGUACGUGCUGAUGCCCAUACGCUAUCUUCACAAUGGAGCCUGAGUAAAACGAUACACUGUCCUUCAUUUGUGCUGUAUAUUUAGACUGCUAAUAAAGGAUAAAUUAGGGAAGUGGAACAGAGACCAAGGGCGUUGGCGCCUUAGGAACAUCUGGCAUUUAGACUAAACUGAUUCAAAAUGAAAGAAAUUAAUCUUGGGGAUGGACUAGGAGAAAGGCCAUGCGGCAACUUAUGUGGAAUGAUAAGAUCCAUUGCUUUUAGUUUAUGUAGGAUGAAGCCAUCAGUUGGGACUUAGGAGAUUGCCAUAUGUUUUAUUAAUUGAAGGGGUGUGGAUUGAGAGAAAAAUACGCAGAUAAGUUGAGUUGGGGAAGAGAGAGAGAGAGGACUUAGGAGAUUGCCAUAUGUUUUAUUAAUUGAAGGGGUGUGGAUUGAGAGAAAAUACGCAGACAAGUCGAGUUGGGGAAGCGAUUGAAGUGGGGCAGAGAGAGGAGUUAAGGACUUACGGGUAUAACUACUUUACCACUGAGUAUUUGAUAUCUUGUUCAACAGCUGACAAAGACAAGGAAUUCUUUGAAGAUAACCUGUUGGUCCAAGGAAUUCUUUGAAGAUAAGCUGUUGUCCAGUGCAUUAGCUAAUUUGCACGACCAGAUGAAGACUUUGUCUUUGAAAUUAGAGUCGUUAGAAGAAACUGUUAGAAAUUGUAAGUUAUUCAUGUUUUGUUGUUUCACAAGAAAUUUCAUAUACAUUUCGAAAAUAAGGAAGCUGGUGAGGUGGAAGCUUAUCAUUUUUCAGUAGGAACCAAAGAUUUCUGCUCUGUACUUCUUUAAUUCAUGGUUAAUAUGUGUUUGAGUUAUGAAUGUAAGCGAAAAAGAGUUGAAAGAACUCAGCAUUGAGAAAGAUGAGGCGGAGAAAUCCUUUAGAAACGAACAGUGCAAAGCUGCCAAUCUUAUCAACGAAAAAGCGUGUUGAAAAGAGAAGUUUACUGUUGGAAAUUAAUCAAUGUGGGUGAAAAAAGAACGCGAUAAAGGAUUCAAACUAUUGCAUCUUGCCUCAAGUUGGUUAAGGAGAAGAAAGACCUUGGUUCUCAGUGUGUUUAAAAAUAAUAUGAUCAACCCCACAAUAUGACUUUGCAUGUUACACAGAGACAAAUGCACUUCAAGUGGUGAAUAAGGAGUUAGACAAUACGAUCAUUGAACUGCGAAAAAGUCAAGAAUUUGCAAUGUUACAGCAUGCGAGGAAUGCCUUUAGCAGAGGAGAGAAUUCGGAGCAAGACUCGUUAUUGAAAAUUUCAGCAUUGGAAUCUGAGAGCAAAGAUUCUACAGAAAAACUACAGGAAGAGGCGGAGGAAGUGGAAAGAUUACAAGAAGAAGUUGAUAAGCAUGAGCAGCAUCGAGAUUCACUGGAGAUGCAAGUUUGCCAACUUCAAACUAUUCUAGAGGAGAAGGAACAACUUGUUCUGCGAUCAAAGGACAGAGAGAAAGAGUUGGAAGAUCAAAAAACAGAGCUUCAGGCGGCACUGGUAGAUGCUGAAAGUAAACUUUCUGAAGCAAGAUGCAUUAGGAUUCGAUGCUUGAAAGUAAGCAAUUAGAAUUGUCAAGACAUUUGAAAGAACUAUCUCAGAGAAAUGAUCAGGCCAUUAAUGAUAUCCGGAGGAAGUUUGAGGUUGAGAAACCGUUGAGAAAGAAAAGGCUGAUAAAGCUGUUCAAGAAUUGGAAAGAAAUUGUGACCAAAAGCUUGCAGAACACAAGGAGGAAUCCCUGUUGUAUUUGAUGCAUAUACAGGAGGAACAUGCUGCUUUGGUAUGUAUCCAACUGCAAUGCUGGUUAAAUGUAAAUGGUUGAUCAUUAUCUUCUAUCUACUGUUUUAGCUUUUGACAGAUUCAAAUAGUUUCAUAGACGAUUCAAGCUACAGUUAAAUGGCACUAUUAAUCAUUGUACGUCUUAUUGUUUACGAGAUUAAAUGUCAGAAGUUUUGUGUUUUAGAUCUUUUAGAAUUUCAACUUGUUCCAAUGCUUCCAAAAGUUAUUCUUCUUGUCACAAAAUCACUCUUUUUCUUUCUCUAAUUGCCUCAAACAUGUAUUCCAAGAGAUGGUAUAUAAAUUCCUUCUUCCUUUUAGCAUUGCUUAUACCAAGUGAAGCCAUGGUUUUGUAUAUCAGAACAUACAUGAGCUUAGUGUUUACAUACUGUCAGUUUAUCACCUCUAUAUCAGCCAGAAAACAUUAAUGAUUUUGACGGGACAUUUUUGAUGUUUUUGAGCUCGGUAUUGCUCAAAAGUUGUUUCUAAGAACUUUUGAACAAAAUUUUGCUGUUACGUACAGAAGUUUGACUUUUGUAAUAUCCAUUUGGUAGAUCACCCGUAUCCAGUAUGAGCAUAGUACAAAGGAAUUGAACCUUAAAUCCAACCACAAUGAUGAGCUUGUUAGCGCAUGUUUUUGAUGAUGAGAUUUUUAAUGAGUUAUUACACAAAAUGAAUACAUGAUAUUGCUAAACUCGUUGUAUGUAAAAGUGUGGUUCAAAGGCUUUCAGAAUUUCGGAAUUGGAUCUGAUGCAGUGUCCAGAUCUCACGUUUGGACGUCAUCAGGUUCUGGUUCUUAGUUUUGGAUCUCAUGGACUUCAUCAGAAUUGGACCUCACCAAGUUCUGGUCCUUACUUUUGGAUCUCAUGGUGUCGUCCGUUUAUGCAGUCCAGACUUACCUGUCCUCUGUUUUUACUCUGAUGGAUCUCACUUUUGGAUCUUAAAGUGAAGUCCAAUAUUGAGGACCAGUUUUACAUUACUCUGUUCUCACCCAACUCUCUCUCUCCUACUUUUCACAUGGGUCCAAAUCUUUUAACUUUGUUUUUUGGGCUAUUUAAUGACUCUUAAGACUUUGUAUAUCAUCUGAGAUUUGGUGUGGACAAAUCUUUUUUGUUGGAUUAACCUUGUUUCACAGGUAUCAACCUUGAGUCGUUCAAGUUGAAAAAGGGGAACAGAGCAUUUAUUUUGAGAACGUUGAAGCUGUCUUUUAGAAGAUUUACCAAGAUUUGAUUUUGGCUAUAUGUCAAGAAGUCUUCUCCAGGGAUUGAUACUAAGAGAGAUACGCACCACGUAUUCAAUAUUCAAAAGCACUCAUUCAAAAUAUUCAAGUCUGAGAUUUUCACUGUAGAUUACCUUCUUCAGACGUUCAAGAGAGUUUAGCUUCCACCGUAGUAUUCUUAUAUACUCUUUGUAGUGUUGAGCCACACUUGUAUUUUUCAUACAAAGGACUACACUUAUUAUCCCACCUUGUGAGUGAGAGAAUCCAAUCCACUGUGUUUUUCAGUUAGGAUUUUGUUCCUCUAAAAAGUGUGGGUUGCAAAACACAAGGAUUCCUUUAGUGGUGUAUCUGGUCUGCGUGUACCAGAGAGAUUUGAGAUUGUCGUGAAAAAGCUUUGUUUGUGAAGGAGAGUUGGCUCCUGUGAAACCAAUAGUGUUGUACGUACAUAAGACAUAGUGGAUGCCAAUGAUAGUUCAAGGGAACUUCGUUGAAGAGUGGACUAAGCAGUUAGCUGAACCACUAUAAAAAUCUCUUGUCUCAUAUUCUUUUGCUCUUCAGUACUUCAUUUCAUUAUUAUUUCUAACAAUUUCUAUUGAAGGCAGAAAAAUUAGGUUUCAACCUAUUCACCCCCCUCUAGGUUGCUUUAUCAAUUGGUAUCAGAGCGAGGAGCCUUCAUUUAAAGGGUAUAACAACCUGAAGGAGAUCCUAUGGCAACCAACAGUAUGAAUCAGAUGGAGGAGGGAGCUGGAACUGGGAGACCACCACUAUUUAGCGGGACUCACUACAGCUAUUGGAAAAGUAGAAUGAAGAUCUUUAUUGAAUCCAUUGAGUUCGAUCUCUAUGGACAAUAGUAGAAGAAGGAUACACAAUGCUAACCGUUACAAAUGAAGGUAUCACUACUGAGAAACCCAAAUCUAAGUGGAGUAAUGAUGAAAAGAAUAAAUAUACUUUGAAUUCGAGAGCUAUGAAUGCUUUGUUUUGUGGGCUUAGUCCCGAUGAACAAACCAAGGUUUCUGUUUGUAAAACUGCCAAAGAAAUUUGGAAGACUUUGGAAGUCACCAAUGAAGGUACUAGUCAGGUGAAAGAUUAUAAAAUUAGUACACUUUUGCACAAGUAUGAGAUGUUUAAAAUGAAACCUGAUGAAUCCAUAUUGAAAUGUAUACUCGUUUACAAAUAUUGUGAAUGGACUAACAUCACUUGGUCGAUGGUCGAGAAACUCCCUCUAUGGAGAUAGUGAGAAAGAUUUUGCAGGCUCUACCGGCCAAGAAAUGGAGACCUAAGGUCACAACAAUAGAAGAAGCAAAAGACCUCAAGACUCUCUAGGUCGAGCAAUUAAUUGGAUCACUCAUUACUCAUGAAAUGGUACUAACAGAGGAGGAAGAUGAGAAGCCCAAAAAAGGAAUUGCACUGCAAGCUACAAGGAUGAAGAAUCUGAAGAAGACGAAGAAAUGACGCUUCUAACCCGCAGAUUCAAAAAAUUCAUAAAAAGAAAAGAAGUUAGGAGAACAGAUCAAGGAGAUAGAGAAAGAAAACCCAACAACAGAGAAGAGGAGAGAAGGUGCUUUGACUGUGAUAAAGUUGGACAUAUAGCCGCCAACUGUCAAGUAGAACAAAAUAAAGGAAAGAAGGCCUUUGCUGCUACUUGGGAUGACGAGGAUGAUGAGUUGGAUAUCUCCGACUCCGAGGUAAACGAAUUUGGAUUUAUUGCUUCUAUUGAUAAUGAGCAAAAUGAUUACUUAGAUGAGCAUGUAACUGAUGGUGAUAUUUACACGGCCUUUGAAAGUUUGUAUAAUGAAUAAAAAAAUAUCAAUUUAAAAAAUAGUCACCUCAAAAAGAAAAUUGUCUCUCUUGAAGAAGAAAAUAGCAUUUUAAUCAACAAAAUCUCUAGCCUUGAAAAAGAUUUGAAACAAAAGAACAUUGAUUUGGAAAGAUUUAACUUCAGUUCAAAAGAUUUGACUACUCUUCUUGGAAAUCAAAGGUUGUUUGGAGAUCGAAGUGGCAUCGGGUAUAAUACAUCUUUUGUGACUAAUUUAGUAAAGAAGAGAAUUUCGAAUUGUUUUACUCCUAGAGAAUCGCUUCGUAAUGUCGUGCUAUUUUUGUUUUGAUAAAGGUCACAUUCAAAUAAACUGUCCCAAAAGGAGAACUAAUGUUCAAGGACCCAAAUUAAGAUGGGUACCAAAAGGAAGAUGUUAUUUUGCAGGAACUAUGGGAUUAAAAGUAAACAUUUGCGAUUCCAUGUGGUACUUGGACAGUGGGUGCUCUAGACACGACUGGAGGAAAGGAAAGAUUCUCACUCCUAUCUAAGCACAAUGGAGGGAUUGUGACUUUUGGAGACAACAGGAAAGGUGAAAUAGUAGGAAAAGGUACGAUUGGUAAUCCUAAUAGUUCUUGUAUUGAAAAUGUGUAUUUAGUUGAUGGUUUGAAACAUAGCCUUCUUAGUAUUAGCCAACUUUGUGACAAGGGAAACUGAGGCCUCUUUUACUCAAAUCACUGUGAAGUACAAGACAUAAACACUAAUGAGAUUGUUUUCACUGGAAAAAGAACUAACAACACUUAUGUUGUCAAAAUGAGUGAGAUUUCAAAAAAUAGUGUUAAAUGUCUUGCUAAGUUUUGAAAAUGAAAGUUGGCUUUGGCAUAGAAGACUAGGACAUGCCAACAUGAAACUCUUAAAACAGCUUUCUCAAAAGGACCUUGUCAAGGGAAUUCCUAAGCUGGAUUUUUCAAAAGAUAGAGUUUGUGAAGCAUGUCAGUUAGGGAAACAAGUUAAACGCUCUUUUAAAUCUGUCAAUAUUGUUUCCACCUCUAAACCAUUAGAACUAAUUCACAUGGAUUUGGUUGGGCCCACAAGAACUACUAGCAUUAGCGGUAAAAAAUAUUUUUUGACUAUGGUAGAUGAUUUUUCACGUUUUACUUGGGUAAGUUUUCUUACUCAUAUAAAUGAAGCUUUUAACCACUUUGUGAAGAUCAUUGCUAGAAUUCAAAAAGAACAGGGACGUGAAAUUCUCAAGAUAAGAAGUGAUCAUGGAAGAGAGUUUGACUACUCAGAGUUUGAAAACUAUUGUGACAAAAAGGGAAUACAACACCGGUUCUCUGCUCCAAGGAUUCCACAACAAAAUGGAGUAGCGGAAAGAAAAAAUAGAUCACUUCAAGAUAUGGCCAGGACCAUGCUCAAGGACAAAGGUCUGUCUUUUUACUUUUGGGCCGAAGCGGUAAACUCAGCAUGUUACAUAGGUAAUCAUGUUUUCUUAAGAUCUAUACUUCAUAAAACUGCCUAUGAAUUAUGGUAUGGUAGAAAGCCUAAUAUUUCUUAUUUUAGAGCUUUUGGAUGCAAAUGUUACAUUUUAAAUACCAAUGACAAUAUAGGAAAAUUUGAUUCUAGAUCUGAUAUUGGCAUUUUCCUUGGUUAUUCUUCAUCUAGUAGAGCAUAUAGGGUUUUCAAUAAAAGAACUCUAGUUGUUGAAGAAUCUGCAAAUGUCACAUUUGAUGAAAUUGGUGAAGAAAAUCAUGGCAUGCAUAAUAUAGAUAGAUGAUGAUAUCUUUCCUACUGUGAUGCAUGAUAAUAAUAAUAAUAAAAGUGAGAAGUGCCCCAGAUUACUAUUGAAUCAUCCUAGUGAACAAAUCAUUGGGGACCCCCAAUCUGGAAUUACCACUAGAUCACAUGCUAAUAUUUGUUCGCAUCUUGCUUUUGUUUCUCAAAUUGAACCAAAGAAUUUUGAACAAGCUGAAAAAGAUGAAUCUUGUAUGCUAGCUAUGCAAGAAGAGUUAAAUCAGUUUGACAGAAAAUAAAGUAUGGCAUUUAGUUCCUAGACCAGUUGAUCACCCUAUUAUUGGCACUAAAUGGAUCUUCAAAAACAAGUCGGAUGACAAAGGUAUUAUCACUAAAAAUAAGGCUAGGCUUGUUGCUCAAGGAUAUAAUCAAGAGGAAGGAAUAGAUUAUGAGGAAACAUUUGCACCUGUUGCACGAUUAGAAUCUAAUCGCAUGUUGUUAGCCUUUGCACGUUACAAGAACUUUUCCUUAUAUCAAAUGGAUGUCAAAAGUGCUUUCUUGAAUGACUAUGUGAAUGAGGAGGUGUAUGUUGAACAACCACCUGGUUUUUCUGAUUCUCAUUAUCCUGAUCAUGUUUUUAGACUUGUUAAAGCCUUGUAUGGACUCAAACAAGCCCCUAGAGCUUGGUAUGAAAGGCUUAGUGGUUAUCUUAUGCAAAAUGGAUUUACUAGUGGCCUUGCGGAUUCCACGUUAUUUAUUAAAAAAGGAAAAGAUGAUAUACUGCUUGUUCAAAUUUAUGUUGAUGAUAUUAUCUUUGGAUCUACUAACAAUCACUUGUGUGAAGAAUUUGCAAAGAUUAUGCAGACUGAGUUUGAAAUGAGCAUGAUAGGGGAGUUGAAGUUCUUUCUAGGACUUCAAAUCAAGCAAACUGAUGGUGGUAUAUUCAUCAAUCAAGCUAAGUAUACCAAAGAACUUCUAAAGAAAUAUGGUAUGACUGAUUGCAAAGAAAAGAAAAUCCCAAUGGAACAAGCUGUCAAGCUGGAAAAGAUGAAUCAGGUAAAAGUGUUGAUAAAAAGACCUAUUGAGGUAUGAUUGGAGGCUUACUCUAUCUAAUGGCUAGUAGACCUGAUAUUUUAUUAAGUGUUGGAAUUUGCGCUUGAUUUCAAGAAAAUCCUAAAGAAUCGCACUUGAAAGCUGUUAAGAAUAUCUUGAAAUAUCUAAGAGGUGCUAUUGAUUUGGGAUUAUGGUUUUCUAAAGAUACUACGUUCGAUAUUAUUGCAUACACUGAUCCGGACUUUGCAGGUAGUAAAACUGACCGCAAAAGCACUAGCUGUACCUGUUUCUUUGCAGGACAUUGCUUAGUGGCGUGGAUGAGUAAAAAACAAAAUUCAAUUCCAUCUCACUGUCCACUGCAGAAGCUGAAUAUAUAGCCGCCGGAAGCUGUUGCACGCAAAUUUUGUGGAUGAAACAAGUCUUGAAAGACUAUGGAAUUGAUGUUGGGACAGUUCCAAUUCUUUGCGACAACACAAGUGCAAUUAACGUUUCAAAAAAUUUGGUCAUGCAUUCCCGAACCAAGCAUAUAGAUAUUCGGCACCACUUCUUGCGUGAACAGGUAUCUCAUGGUACAGUAAAAUUAGAAUAUAUUCGUACUGACGAGCAAUUGGCAGGUAUAUUUAUGAAGCCGCUCGGCGAGGAGCAAUUUAACAAGCUUCGCAGACAAUUGGGAAUCGGAGACCUUCCAACCCAAUAGCACAUUUCUGUAUCAACCUUGAGCUGUUCAAAGUUGAAAAAGGGGAACAGAUCAUUUAUUUUGAGAAUGUUGAAGCUGUCUUUUAGAAGAUUUACCAAGAUUUGAUUUUGGCUAUAUAUCAAGAAGUCUUCUCCAGGGAUUGAUACUAAGAGAGAUACGCACCACGUAUUCAAUAUUCAAAAGCACUCGUUCAAAAUAUUCAAGUCUGAGAUUUUCACUGUAGAUUACCUUCUUCAGAUGUUCAAAAGUGUUGCGCUUCCACUGUAGUAUUCUUAUAUACUCUUUGUAGUGUUGAGCCACACUUGUAUUUUUCAUACAGAGCACUACACUUAUUAUCUCACCUUGUGAGUGAGAGAACCCAAUCCACUGUGUUUUUCAGUUAGGAUUUUGUUCCUCUAAAAAGUGUGGGUUGCAAAACACAAGGAUUCCUUGAGUGGUGUUUCUGGUCUGUGUGUACGAGAGAGAUUUGAGCUUGUCGUGAGAAAGCUUUGUUUGUGAAGGAGAGUUGGCUCCUGUGAAACCAAUAGUGUUGUACUUACUGAAGACAUAGUGGACACCAGUGAUAGUUCAAGGGAACUUCAUUGAACAGUGGACUAAGCAGUUAGCUGAACCACUAUAAAAAUCUCGUCUCAUAUUCUUUUGCUCUUCAGUACUUCAUUUCAUUAUUAUUUCUAACAAUUUCUAUUGAAGGCAGAAAAAAUUAGGUUUCAACCUAUUCACCCCCUCUAGGUUGCUUUAUCAGAGCUAAAACGUGUUCAACUUCAAGCUGAAAAUGAGUAGAGAGAGGUAUAUGUUGCUGCUGCAGUCUUGGCUAUUCCUGCCAAGAUCUGAAUCAAUUCUCAUGCCAGGCUUGGAGUUCUAAUCCAAAUUUUGGUGUCCUUCUCCCACGCCAGAGUUUGGAAAUAUUCUCCAACUUUUGGCAUGCCUCUGAGUCAGAUGCUGAUCCUCGAGCUGUUUUGUGCCUGUGGAUGUUCUUUUGGAUGGCAAUUCUGUGCUGGUUUGGACUAUCCAUGUCUGUCAUGGAACCAAUUCCCCCCCAUUUUUUAGGCCAGGAUGGAGCCCUCCCCAAUUCCUGCUACUUAAAUGCUCAAAUUCAACUAGACCCUAUCACUGAUUUUGCUGACGGAUUGGAUAUUCAUCACUGAUUAAUGCUCCUGGAUUUAUCUUUUGGGAUCUUAUAUGCUUCAUGCCUCCAACCACUAUGUCUUUAAGCCAUGUAGGAUUCCUCUUAACUCCUGGAUUAAAACUUUAUAUCAGAAAGUUCAAGAUUUGAGAAUAAAAUGUAAGAAUUGUUAUUGAAAAUUUCAGCAUUGGAAUCUGAGAGCAAAGAUUCUGCAGAAAAACUACGGGAAGAGAUACAGAAAAUGUCGGAGGAAGUGGAAAGAUUACCAGAAGAAGUUGAUAAGCACGAGCAGCAUCGAGAUUCACUGGAGAAGCAAGUUGGCCAACUUCAAACUAUUCUAGAGGAGAAGGAACAGCUUGUUCUGCGAUCAAAGGACAGAGAGAGAGUUGGUAGAGCAAAAAACAGAGGUUUCCAAGAUUAGAAUGACCGCAUACUGAAAUAAUUUUUACCUCUAGCUCAGUGUACUGAAUAAAUUUACCU
This is an RNA transcript of Rhododendron vialii, 10993 nucleotides long. It is a transcript of the gene named protein MOR1-like, with no coding region annotated. The transcript is spliced from 12 exons. The record is from RefSeq and is a predicted model, not a curated record. Lineage: Eukaryota; Viridiplantae; Streptophyta; Magnoliopsida; Ericales; Ericaceae.